Cavia porcellus (domestic guinea pig) is the source of this 485-nucleotide long non-coding RNA. RefSeq lists it as uncharacterized. The transcript has 2 exons. The record is from RefSeq and is a predicted model, not a curated record. NCBI's taxonomy places the organism in Eukaryota, Metazoa, Chordata, Mammalia, Rodentia, Caviidae.
CCCAGGGUCCCUAGGACAGCCCUCCUGGGGCGGCUGUCCUAAGACCUUGGUUUUGUGUCUAUCUCUGCUUUGAUCUCUUUCAUGCCCACAGUGACUUAGCUUAGGACAAGCCACACCUACAUUCCCAGCUGAGGAGUCCCCGUUUGCAGCUCAGAGAACAGAGGGGGCACCACUGGACUCAGCAGUUGACCAGCUCUCACUGCUCAGCGGACUGACCAGGCAGCGGAGCUGAAAGAAAACUCUGGACUUCUGAGUCUGACCUAGGAGGGUCUGGCUAGCUGCCAUGAUCUCCACCUGACACUUCCAGAGCAUCUGUGGGUAUCCACUGUCACAUGGACCAUCCCGGAACUCCGCCAACGAGGUGGUCCAGAUCUGGAUCCUGUAGGCUUUUCUGUGUUAUGAGUGGUCACAUUGGUGAUGGGUACCCUUGUCAUGGUGGUAAGGCCAAGCCUACCCUUUUUAAAGAAAAAGAACCUUCCAAAGCC